AUACUUACCUGGUAGGGGAGACACUAUGAUCAUGAAGGUGGUUCACCCAGGGCGAGGCGAGGCCAUUGUACUUCGGCUGUGCUGACGCUUGCGAAUUCCACAAAUGUGGAAAUCUCAACUGCAUUAUUAGGGACAGUGGUGGCGCAGUGGUUGAGGCUCUGG
Molecule: small nuclear RNA, 162 nt
Organism: Xyrauchen texanus (razorback sucker)
Lineage: Eukaryota; Metazoa; Chordata; Actinopteri; Cypriniformes; Catostomidae
Product: U1 spliceosomal RNA
Exons: 1
Source: RefSeq, a predicted model, not a curated record